AAAAUUUUUUAAGUCUAAUCUGCUCAAUGAAUAAUUUUAAAUAGCUGCAGUAUAAAUAACUGUACAAAGGUAGCAUAAUAAUUUGUUUUUUAAUUAAAAACUAGAAUGAAUGAUUAAAUGAAAUAUAGACUAUAUCAAACUUAAAAAAUAAAUUUAUUAUUUAAAUAAAAAAAUUUAAAUAACUUUUAAAGACGAGAAGACCCUAAAGAAUUUAAAUAAUAAUUUAAAAUAAUAAUUUAUAAAUUAUUAUAUUAAUUGGGGAAAUUUUAAAAUUUAAAAAAUUUUUAAUUAAAUAAACAUAUAUUUUUGAAUAUAUAAAAUUUUUUAAAAAAUUAAAUUAAAUUACCUUAGGGAUAACAGCAUAAUUUUUUUAAAAAGUUCAAAUUUAUAAAAAAGUUUAUGACCUCGAUGUUGAAUAAG
This 420-nucleotide ribosomal RNA is filed under the name Cotesia flavipes. RNAcentral describes it as "partial large subunit ribosomal RNA". Lineage: Eukaryota; Metazoa; Arthropoda; Insecta; Hymenoptera; Braconidae. The record is from RNAcentral.